RNAcentral lists this ribosomal RNA (304 nucleotides) under uncultured bacterium. RNAcentral describes it as "partial 16S ribosomal RNA". It matches the Rfam family "Bacterial small subunit ribosomal RNA", at positions 506 to 807 of the family's 1533-position model. The record is from RNAcentral.
CAGCAGCAGCCACGGUAAUACGAAGGGUGCAAGCGUUAAUCGGAAUUACUGGGCGUAAAGCGUGCGUAGGCGGUGAGUUAAGUCUGCUGUGAAAUCCCCGGGCUCAACCUGGGAAUGGCAGUGGAUACUGGCUCGCUAGAGUGUGUCAGAGGAUGGUGGAAUUCCCGGUGUAGCGGUGAAAUGCGUAGAGAUCGGGAGGAACAUCAGUGGCGAAGGCGGCCAUCUGGGACAACACUGACGCUGAGGCACGAAAGCGUGGGGAGCAAACAGGAUUAGAUACCCCCGUAGUCCCUGUCUCUUAUAC